Molecule: transfer RNA, 84 nt
Filed under: Candidatus Woesearchaeota archaeon
Lineage: Archaea; Nanobdellati; Candidatus Woesearchaeota
Description: tRNA-Ser
Rfam family: tRNA
About the family: Transfer RNA (tRNA) molecules are approximately 80 nucleotides in length. Their secondary structure includes four short double-helical elements and three loops (D, anti-codon, and T loops).
Source: RNAcentral
GCCGAGGUGGCACAACCUGGUACUGCGCUGGAUUGCUAAUUCAGUGUCCUAACGGAUUUGUGGGUUCAAAUCCCACCCUCGGCG